RNAcentral lists this ribosomal RNA (253 nucleotides) under uncultured bacterium. RNAcentral's name for it is "partial 16S ribosomal RNA". It matches the Rfam family "Bacterial small subunit ribosomal RNA", at positions 524 to 776 of the family's 1533-position model. The record is from RNAcentral.
UACGUAGGGUGCAAGCGUUAAUCGGAAUUACUGGGCGUAAAGCGUGCGCAGGCGGUUUUUUAAGUCAGAUGUGAAAGCCCCGGGCUCAACCUGGGAAUUGCGUUGGAGACUGCAAGGCUAGAAUCUGGCAGAGGGGGGUAGAAUUCCACGUGUAGCAGUGAAAUGCGUAGAGAUGUGGAGGAACACCGAUGGCGAAGGCAGCCCCCUGGGUCAAGAUUGACGCUCAUGCACGAAAGCGUGGGGAGCAAACAGG